UAUUUUUUAUAUUUAAAUAAUUUUAAAAACCUAUAUAUGUGACCUUUCAUCAAACAAUAAAAUGAACUCACAAAAUUAGCUCUUCAAAUUUUGUAAACAUGAGUAACAAGCUUGCUUUCUUUUUUGGAAUUCUCCUUGUGACACUUACUGUUAAUUCAUUUUGGUCCUCGAAUAUACAAGUGAUGGCUCUACGAGACAUACCUUUUGAAGUACAAGCAAUAGAGGACAUUGUACUGCCAAAUCUUGCAAAUAAAAAAGGAUGUUACAAACUUUGUUCAUCAGAUGCAAAUUGCAAUAAUAGAGGUUCAGAAUGUAGGCAAUGUAGAACAGCUCACAAUCAUUAUGAUAUAACAAAAAGAUGUUAUCAAAGGAUUUAAUUUGAAUUUCAUAUGCUAAAAUUAAAGUGUUUUUUUUUUUUUGUUCUAAAUAAAUAUAUGUAAUGGAUAUUAAAACGCCUAUGGUUGUACUAGUCUAAGGUGUUACUAUUUACGUAAAAUAUUAGUGUGUUACUUUAUAUUGAGUUUGAGUAUCUUCAUCUGCUUUAAAAGUGCGUGAACUAGAAUUCUUAUGUCAGCUUGGUUAUAAUUUUCCUUAUUAUUCAUGAUUUAAAGACUAAAAGAAGUUUUUUGUUUUUUUGUUUAUACUUAACUUCAUAUGUUCAUAGAUACGAUUAAUAUCAACUUUCAAUAUUUCCCCUCCUUUCUCUAGCAAUUUUUUUUUAUAUAUAAUGGAAGGUCUUAGACCUAAGAUACAUUAAGGUGUCGUUUGGUGUGAGAUAUAAAGUAUAAAAGUUCGGGGGAUAAAAUACAUGAUUAUUUUGGCAUGUGUUUGGUUGGAGACAUACAUUAGUUAGUCUCGAAAUUAUUUAUCACAUCAUUUAUAUCAUAGUGAUGGAAUAAGUCAUUAGAUGGUGAGAUAACUAAUUCCGAAAUAGCUAAUUCUGAAAUUAGUUAUCUCAGGAUAACUUGUUCCCGACCAAACGAUCUCUAAACCUAUGAGUUUGGUGAAACUUUUAUUUGAUGAACUCAAAUUCAAUGUUGAUGGUCGUAGCAAAGGUAAUCUUGGUGGUAAAAUCGAAUCUUAACCAAAAAGAUGAAAGACAGAUAGCCAACCAACUGAUUCUCUUGUGUCAUGACCAUAUGGUUAUGCUGAGGCUCAAACAAACAAAUAUGACAUGAGAUGUGCAUUGAUAAAUAUAGUGCCAGUCUUUAAUGUUUUGUCGUUUAAGGUAAAUUUUUUUUGAGGGCAUAGAUUUAUGAUUUCACCUUUUUUAGCAUUAUACUUCGAUGAACUAACUUUGUCACCCCUACUCAGGCCAGAGAUGACAAAAUUAGCUUAUAGAAUCAUAAUUUAUUUAACUGGAUGUUAAUGAAGAAAAACAACUUCAUCCACUAUAACACAUUUUUAAUGGUGAAAUGAUAUAUAACUAAGUGCUAAUUAAACGUCUAUUACACGUAAAAUUUUGACAUUAUUAGAGUACAAAAAAAGUUAUAUUGUCAUGAGUUCGUUAUAUAAUUUCAAUAAUUUAAAAACCAAUCUUAUCCUUACUAUUAUUUUAACUUUAAUGUCACUCUUCCUAGCGAGCUGCCACUAAAAUAAAACUUGUAAGUAUCAAAGAAAAGCCGUCACUAAAAUAAUGAAUCUUAUGUCCUUUUCUACCUAAAGCUCUUCCAUAUAAUAAUAAAAAUGAGUGAUCAUAUAAUCCGUAAAAUUUAUCGAAUUAGUGCAAUAGUGGUAUUCUUAAAAAAAGUUAUUCGAAUUAGUGCAACAGGUGAUAUUCGUAAAGAAAGUUAUUCGAGUUAGUGCAACAGGUGGUAUUCGUAAGAAAAGUUAUAAUGCAUUCUUCUUGCUAAUGACUUCUGAGUCAAACACAUCAUAUCGUACUUACUUGAUGCGAUUUAUAUCUCCUUUAUAAGUUACGAACUAUCGUACAAAAAUGAUUCUACUAAAAGAGUGAGCCAUCAUUGGAUGUUUUAAUAGCAGCCAAGUUGCACUAAAGAGGACAUAUGGUAUGGGACAUUAUGCAUAGUGAAUAUUAUAUGUAUGUUUUAAGAGGUAUAUAGUGAAUAUUAUAUGUAUGUUUUAAGAGGUAUAUAUCUUUAAUUAUAUUAAAACAUUUUCAAAGGCCUAUAUAUAUGUGUAUUUCAUCAAGAAAGAAAAAAAUACACUUACAUUAUUACUCUUCUAUCUUCUCAAAACAAUCCAAGUUUAAACUCUCUAAACAUGAUUAGAUAGUUCCUAUCUCACAAGCUCUCUUUCUUUCUUGGCCUUCUCCUUGUGGCACUUGUUGUUGAUUCAUUUUGGUCCUCAAAUAUUAAAGUGAUGGCUCUUCGAGACUUACCUUUAUUAGAAAAAGUACAAGUGAUUAAGCAGAUGGUACUCCAAGACGAAAUUUGAGUUAUUACAACGGUGUAGCGGUCGUUAUCGCAGUGAUGCAGAUUGCAAACAAUCUAAAAAUUGUUCAAAAUGUCGAAAAACUUUGUUUACGAGGAGGAAAGUUUGUCUUGCUCCAAAUUAUAUUGAUCAAAUAUUUGAAUUUAUGGUACGAUAAAAAUGUUAUUUAUGAUCUUUUUAUGUAUGUAUGUGUUGUCAGUUAUGAGUAUAUUUAUUUUGAAAUUUUGAGUUACUUGUAAGAUGAAGGUAAGUAAUUAUGUAUUGUUCUGAAUAAAUUUGUGACAUGUAUGAUAUAAAAUUGUGUAUUGAUGUAUGUACCUGUUGUCAGUUAUGAAUGUAUUUGUUUUGAAACUUUGUUUACUUA
Molecule: long non-coding RNA, 2758 nt
Organism: Capsicum annuum
Lineage: Eukaryota; Viridiplantae; Streptophyta; Magnoliopsida; Solanales; Solanaceae
Exons: 3
Source: RefSeq, a predicted model, not a curated record